RNAcentral lists this long non-coding RNA (222 nucleotides) under Carica papaya (papaya). Its description in RNAcentral is "long non-coding RNA (CPAP_LNC014754)". The record is from RNAcentral. Lineage: Eukaryota; Viridiplantae; Streptophyta; Magnoliopsida; Brassicales; Caricaceae.
GGGUAUUUUGCUUAAUAUUUUUUGUGCAUUCAUUUAUUGUCCACUACGUGAUAAGAGUGUCAUUACAAGCACUUUACAUAGUAGAAUAACAAAAAACGAGGUGCGAUAGGAGGUCCGUUCAUCUGGGUGUGAGUUGAGCUGACAAGGAAUUUUGCUUGAUAUUAGAAUUAGAAAGAGAGGUGCAGUGUGUGCACAAACAAAAUAAAUAUCGAGAGGGGGGAG